This 1035-nucleotide long non-coding RNA is filed under the name Helianthus annuus (common sunflower). RNAcentral's name for it is "hypothetical non coding rna". The record is from RNAcentral. Lineage: Eukaryota; Viridiplantae; Streptophyta; Magnoliopsida; Asterales; Asteraceae.
GGAUGUGAGACGAGAGCUGUGUGAGACUUUGAGAGAGAGUCAUUAAACAUUGUUUGUAUAUGUUUUUAUCGUUCUCAUCCCUAAUCAAUAGAUAUUGAAUCUUUUGGUUACGUGUGUUCUUAUUUUAAACUUUGUUUGGUUUGCACCGUCACGGGGAUUCCGCACCCGUUACCGUGUUCUUGAUAAACAAGGAUAGGUUUACGUUAUCGAUCCACCGGAAAAACGGGACCUACAAUUGGUAUCAGAGCCGUGGCUCUUUUCCUUGUUUAAAACCAAACAUUGUCGUGUUUGAAACAAGUGGUUUUUAGUGAUUUUUCAGUGUUUGUUCUUGAAAAGUUUAUAUAUUUUCUGGAAAAAGUCACUAAAAUCAGUGUUUAUUUUGUUGUUUUGCUAAAAGUUUGUUCAAAAACCUUGUUUGUUUGAGUGAUUACAUAUUAGCAUUUGGUUUUUGUUGAAAGUUUUAAGCAAAAUCGUUUUCGGAAAAUUUAUCCGGUGAAAACUUGGCCAGAAUAUUCAAGUUGUUCUUGUCUAUCUUCAUAGUGUUCUUGGUUUAUUCAAACUGUUCUUGAAUUAUAUAUGUUGUUUGACUUUCGUGUACACUUGAAUGAUGAGUAGUUGAAAAAGAUGUAUGAUAAGGUAUGGUCUAGUUUGAAUUUGUGUGCCCUUGUCAGACAAAAGGAUAAGCCUACUUUGAAAAUAUCACACCAACUCACUGACCUUAUCACUUUGUUGGUUUAAAAAAAAAAAUUAUUAUAAAUAAUAUAAAGAAAUAAACAGGUUUCGUCGAUGAUUGUUUGACACCAUUUCAUUUCGUCAAAACACUGCUGGGCCGACACAUUUAAUUAUAUUCUAAUUGGGCCAAAAUAUCCACUUUCAUCUUAUAUUUAUAUAUGGAUUAUCAGGUGCUGGGCCGAUUCUUAAUUUAGUUACUUACAACUGGGCCAACAUUUUUUUUGUUUAAUUAUUCUCAUCAUUCAACAUUAAAAAAUCAACACACAUUAGAGGUUUAAUCAAAUAAAGUUUCGUCGACCUUUU